RNAcentral lists this long non-coding RNA (674 nucleotides) under Anser cygnoides (Swan goose). RNAcentral describes it as "lncRNA (ENSACDG00005011610.1)". Lineage: Eukaryota; Metazoa; Chordata; Aves; Anseriformes; Anatidae. The record is from RNAcentral.
ACAUUCUUACCACAUGGAAAAACAUUUCACUGGAGAAAUGGAAAGCAUUAUUUUGUAAAUGCAUUUAUUAACUCAAUAGCACAAACCAGUACAAUUGAGCACAUUGGGUUUCAGUUUGAUUAUACCACAUCCCAUGAACGCAUUGUUGGUGGUUUAAUUGUAGAUAAGAAAGAAGUACAACAGUUUCUGCGAGCAAGAGUGCAUCAUAAAGGCCAGCUGGAGCUCCAUGCAGAGGGGCUGCUUUGCCCGGGCAGGUUGGCCCAUGGUCUCUUUAGGAAGUACUCGAGGAUUUCAGCAUCGUCUCCCAUGACUGAGCCUGUGCAGGAGCAGGCUUUUUCUGUCCAUGCUCUGCCUUCUGUUGCAUGGAGGAAAACUGUUGGUUCCUUUAUCUUGCAUAUUAAAGGUGGAUUUUGUACCUCUUUCUCUCAGUGAAACAUCCCUGUGGCUAAUUGCAGUGACACUGAUAUUCGAAGGUUUCUAGAGCAGUUCAAUUUAAACAUUGUGACUUUGUGAGCCUGGCAUCGAGUGCUGGAAGGAGCACAUUUAUUGAAGACCUAAAACUAGUGGAGAUGUUGCUAUAUAUGCUGUGAGAGAGCUGUUAUGCUUCUUCUCAUUGACUGUAUUAUUUCACUCAUUAGAAUAAACUAUCAGCAAAUCUCCUGUUGUAUGUUCUU